UGCCUCUACCAUGAGUUGCCAUCGAAAACUUGUAUUCGUAUACUACAGUCGAUAGAGUUUAAACGUGGAUCGAUGAAGUUUGCAUUAAAAUCAUACCAUGAGUUCAAUUACCGUAUACUUUAAUCGCUAGCGAUAAUUCGAUGGUUUUGUGAUGUCAUGUUGGUGAACAUGUUAACGUAUCCAACUUCACACUCUAUGAAUGGAUGAAUGAAAGAACGAAUGCCGCUCCUUUCUAACUAUAUAGAAAAGAUAGAGUAGGAAAUAACAAAAAUGUCAAAAAUAACACUGCAAAAUUUAAGUGUCCUAGAAUAGUGCUUAAAGCUGAAUUAACAUGAUGAUUUUAAAUUUGUAUUGUUUAUUUCUUGUCAUUGCGACUUUGACGCAGCUGUUGUCAUGACAACAGAUAACAAAACAUGUUUUGUUGAAGGAUUAUUGAUGAAUAAUUUUCCACAAAAAAUUGGAUUUUAACCACGAUAGGAAAAUGAGAACCUGCGCCUAUCCGUUUAAACCGAUUGUAGAAUUCUUGGAAAGAUAUGGCGAUCUGAGUAUGCCCACUGAAGGGCCCCAAGAAAGAGCCAACAAUAGUCAAUGGUGGGUGGAACUAACGGACACGCGAACGUGAAAUGCUGAUGCCACCGGCGACACCAAAACUACUGAGAAAUUGAGAAAAGUGUGGAGUGACUUUAAACAGCAAGAAGAAGGCAACUCGCAUACACAGAGCUGCCAAGGGAACACUGGACUGGUGGCGGUCCAGGUUCUUCCCUGAAGCCAAAGGAUUUAGAGCAGAGUGCUUGUAAAUAACUACUUGUAAAUUAAAUCCAUAAUAAAGACCUAGGGUAACUGGAUAUUGUAAAACCUAUUUACCUACCUUAUUAUUGUAAAACUUAAGAUAUUAUAAUUAAUUAAAUACAUUAUAUUGUUUUAAUCUUUCAUGGUCACUAAACAUACAUGGUAGCAAUCUCGUCAGUAAUAAUAAUUAAGUAAAUACAUAUCCUACUAAUAUCCUACUUAAUAUUAAAAAUGCGAAUGUUUGGAUGUCCGGAUG
Molecule: long non-coding RNA, 1045 nt
Organism: Ostrinia nubilalis (European corn borer)
Lineage: Eukaryota; Metazoa; Arthropoda; Insecta; Lepidoptera; Crambidae
Exons: 3
Source: RefSeq, a predicted model, not a curated record